GAGAAGACUUUAGAUAUGAUCCAGAGUACCACGGGACACGUGAAACACUGUGGGAAGCAGGAGGGACCACCCUCCAAGGCUAAAUACUACCUAGUGACCGAUAGCGUAUAGUACCGUGAGGGAAAGGUGAAAAGAACCCCGGGAGGGGAGUGAAAUAGAACCUGAAACCCUGCACUUACAAGCUGUGGAAGCACAUUUCUUGUGUGACCGCGUACUUUUUGUAGAACGGGCCAACGAGUUACGUUAAGUAGCAAGGUUAAGCACUUAAGGUG
This 272-nucleotide ribosomal RNA is filed under the name Clostridioides difficile. Its description in RNAcentral is "partial 23S ribosomal RNA". It matches the Rfam family "Bacterial large subunit ribosomal RNA", at positions 387 to 660 of the family's 2925-position model. The record is from RNAcentral. Lineage: Bacteria; Bacillati; Bacillota; Clostridia; Peptostreptococcales; Peptostreptococcaceae.